This 508-nucleotide ribosomal RNA is filed under the name uncultured bacterium. RNAcentral describes it as "partial 16S ribosomal RNA". The stretch from base 20 to 329 matches the Rfam family "Bacterial small subunit ribosomal RNA", at positions 47 to 358 of the family's 1533-position model. The record is from RNAcentral.
GACGAACGCUGGCGGCGUGCUUAACACAUGCAAGUCGAACGGAAAGGCCCUGCUUUUGUGGGGUGCUCGAGUGGCGAACGGGUGAGUAACACGUGAGUAACCUGCCCUUGACUUUGGGAUAACUUCAGGAAACUGGGGCUAAUACCGGAUAGGAGCUCCUGCUGCAUGGUGGGGGUUGGAAAGUUUCGGCGGUUGGGGAUGGACUCGCGGCUUAUCAGCUUGUUGGUGGGGUAGUGGCUUACCAAGGCUUUGACGGGUAGCCGGCCUGAGAGGGUGACCGGCCAGAGGGGGACGAGAUGACGGGCCGGAGUCGGACGGGAGGCAGGGGGGGGGAGUAGUGACGGCGGGGGGGAGGCGGGAGGCGGCAAGGCGGGGGGGGGGAUGAGGGCCGGCGGUUUGCUCGCGGCUUUCCCUGGGGCGGGUGGGUGGGGGCCGGUAGGGGGUAAAGAGGCCCCGGCGACGUAGGGGCAAGCGCGGCGGUAAUAAUGGGAAGCGCAGGGGUCCGACC